Molecule: small RNA, 167 nt
Filed under: mouse gut metagenome
Also listed under: 1 other name
Description: Clostridiales-1 RNA
Rfam family: Clostridiales-1 RNA
Source: RNAcentral
GACACCAGGGGCAAAAGACGAGAAACACGAAGUGCAUGCACGGGAGUGUUUAGAAGUCUUUAUGCCCCGCCCACCGAUAUGAGCAUAAAAGCGGUGCGAAAGCACUGCGAUAUGCGAAUAGAGGUGUAGGAUGGCGAGAGUGCGGAGCACGGAGCAAUCCGGGGUGU